Molecule: non-coding RNA, 21 nt
Filed under: Caenorhabditis elegans
Lineage: Eukaryota; Metazoa; Nematoda; Chromadorea; Rhabditida; Rhabditidae
Source: RNAcentral
UCACACCUUAAUAAAUAAUAA